Molecule: ribosomal RNA, 506 nt
Filed under: uncultured bacterium
Lineage: Bacteria
Description: partial 16S ribosomal RNA
Rfam family: Bacterial small subunit ribosomal RNA
Source: RNAcentral
AUUGAACGCUGGCGGCAGGCCUAACACAUGCAAGUCGAGCGGCAGCGGGGGAAAGCUUGCUUUCCCGCCGGCGAGCGGCGGACGGGUGAGUAAUGUCUGGGAAACUGCCUGAUGGAGGGGGAUAACUACUGGAAACGGUAGCUAAUACCGCAUAACGUCUUCGGACCAAAGUGGGGGACCUUCGGGCCUCAUGCCAUCAGAUGUGCCCAGAUGGGAUUAGCUAGUAGGUGGGGUAACGGCUCACCUAGGCGACGAUCCCUAGCUGGUCUGAUAAGAUGACCAGCCACACUGGAACUGAGACACGGUCCAGACUCCUACGGGAGGCAGCAGUGGGGAAUAUUGCACAAUGGGCGCAAGCCUGAGGCGGCCAUGCCGCGUGUAUGAAGAAGGCCUUCGGGUUGUAAAGUACUUUCAGCGGGGAGGAAGGUGUUGUGGUUAAUAACCAGAGCAAUUGACGUCACCCGCAGAAGAAGCACCGGCUAACUCCGUGCCAGCAGCCGCCGUAA